GUGCCAGCAGCCGCGGUAAUACGUAGGGAACUAGCGUUGUCCGGAAUUACUGGGUGUAAAGGGGGCGUAGGCGGUAAAAGAAGUCAUCUGUGAAAACCUAUUGCUCAACGAUAGGCUAGCGGAUGAAACUGAAUUACUUGAGGGCACCAGAGGUAGACGGAAUUACCCGAGUAGGGGUGAAAUCCGCAGAUACGGGUAGGAACGCCGGUGGAGAAGUCGGUCUACUGGGGUGUAACAGACGCUGAGGCCCGAAAGCUAGGGGAGCAAACCGGAUUAGAUACCCGGGUAGUCCUAGCCGUAAACGAUGCUCACUAGGUGUAGGGAGUGACGAACUCUCUGUGCUGAAGCAAACGCGCUAAGUGAGCCGCCUGGGGAGUACGUCCGCAAGGAUGAAACUCAAAUGAAUUGGCGG
This 412-nucleotide ribosomal RNA is filed under the name uncultured bacterium. RNAcentral describes it as "bacterial SSU rRNA". It matches the Rfam family "Bacterial small subunit ribosomal RNA", at positions 505 to 916 of the family's 1533-position model. The record is from RNAcentral.